UAGUUUUCAUUAUAUUUCUGUUACACAAAAGUGUCAAUAAAUAUCUUUAUUAUCAUCCAAAAAGCCUGGAUAUGCAAGUGCUAUUCUCCUUUCCAUUUAUACUCAGCUGGAAUAACAGGGAGAUCUAAUAGUCAUAUGAAAAAUUUACAAUUAUGAGUCCUAAAAUGAUUAGGUAGUUUGUAUGUAGCUAAUAGGAACUGUGUUAUGCUUUAUGAUAAUUAGGUACUGGAUUGCUAUUUCUUUUAAAAAGGUGUACAAGUGUAAAAAUGAAAGUAUAUCCAUUUUCUUAGGAGGAGUUUCUGGAGUUGACACUGGAGUUGACUGAAACACACUGUUUCAUUGUGCUGGAGAAUUCUUGAUCUUUAGUCAAAAUCCAGAGGUACAUUCCUGGGAUAUCUGUUGGAAGAAUCUGUGAUAUGUAUUAAAUCUCACUGGUUUGCUUGCUUCUUUUUAGCAGUGACUUAAUUCUGGGCUUUUCAGGAAUAGUCAUCUGCUCCUAAAAUAGGCAACAGCUUUUAACCCCUAAUGAUUAUUGACCAGCUGACAUCUAUACUUUCUGUCUGUCCUCUUUGAAUGCAGAGUCAAAGUUCAUUUGAAGCAGUUGUUUUGCCUUUUUGCCUGUCUUGGUAUUUAGACUGCAGUAAAUCUGAGACUUUGAACCCCUUCUGGUAGAAGUUUGCACUUGCCAUGGGGACAUCUUGAUCUCAGGGAAUUUGUAGAUCAAAAAAACACUGUCACAGUCAGAGAUUUCCAUACAUUUCAACCUGUCUUUGACUUCUCUGUGUGCUUAGAAUAUCUUUAUGCCAUAACAACUUCCUUAUAAAAUAGAAUAUUUUGUAUUAUUGCCUCUCAAACACACAACUCCAGUGACUUUGUGAAGUAGGCUUAUUAACCAACACAAUAGUGUUGAAAAUUGAUGAUUGAAACAUAUUUCAGUUGUGUCUGAUGGACAAAAUUAGGAGGAGCCAUCCAAUAUACUUUUUGGCAGCCAAGCUUAUUAUCUGCAGUUUGACCUGAUAAAUCCUUACGAGGUAGGGCUUUGUCUUGUGGUGAGCUGGAUGUUGGUUGUUAAGGAGUGAUGGCUGUGCAGGUCUGCUGGGGGAGCUGUCUGGUCUGUGUUGUCACACCAGGGGGAAGGCACAUGCUGCACUGCAGGUUGCUGCAGUUUCCUCUGACGUUACAUUAAUCUGAGCCUGAUCAGUGUCUUAAAUACUAUCUAAUCACAGCAGUAGCUAAAUGGAUUUGUCCAAUCCAUUUGCAGGGGAUGGGCCCUGCAAGGACCCUCUGUGCUAUUGAAAAGAUAAUCAUUUAAUCUUGGUCCUGUGAGUCCAAAAUCAGUACAUGCUCAGAAGAAUCAAAGCCUUGUCAAUUAUCAGGCUAUCACAAUGUACUUUUGGAAGAUUUUUCAUGGCAGGACAAAAGAGAACACAACAGAUACCCAUAAAACUCUCAUAGAUGUUUUCAAGAACAAUUCUGGCUGCAUCAAACAGGCAGAACAAUGCUGGUUCUGUGUAAUGAACGGAUCUGCUCCUGAUUGGGAAUAUCUGCUCACCGA
Long non-coding RNA from Vidua chalybeata, 1555 nucleotides. RefSeq lists it as uncharacterized. Lineage: Eukaryota; Metazoa; Chordata; Aves; Passeriformes; Viduidae. The transcript has 3 exons. The record is from RefSeq and is a predicted model, not a curated record.